This is a long non-coding RNA of Esox lucius (northern pike), 754 nucleotides long. The record is from Ensembl. NCBI's taxonomy places the organism in Eukaryota, Metazoa, Chordata, Actinopteri, Esociformes, Esocidae.
UUCCGCUUUAGCCAGAUGUCGGCAUACAAAUUUCAGUUUUUAGUAGAUGUCUCCAAGACCUGCCUAAAAUAAGCAUUAGUGAUGUCCAUCGAAUUGUUGAUGCCUGGUCCCCUGCUCCAACAAGCAAGCAGAACAAGGGAUUCAAACUCUACGUAUCAAGUUAUCUGCACAACUACGAGGACCACAUGACCUUCUCCCAUUCCUCCUCUGGAUCAUCCAGAUGGUCAUUGGCAAACUUCAGACAUGCCUGGACAUGCAGUGGCUUGAACAGGGGGAUUUAACAGUUUUUUCUGAUGGCUGUAGAUGUAGUGAUUGUAUGAGUUAGUGAACUGUUAUAAGCUGUUGUAACCAAUGAAUCAAAAUAUUAAAUGUUUGUAAUAUGAGCUGAAACUGAAGGAGCAAGUAGGAGAAUAGGAAACCCUGUUUAAGCAGUUGCCGGCGAGAGAAAGAUUUAGUAUGUCUGUCUUUUAAGAAACAGGACACAGGUUAGAGACACACACACAUAGUCUGACAGGCCAGACAGAAACCAGGAGGGGACAAGAAGAUGUUUGCGUUUAUCCUUAUAAGGAAUAGAACUGGAACUGGACCAAUAGCACACUUGUUUUGUGAAUUUAACGACUCUAUCUUUUGGGCGUAGUAGAAGUAUAAAAUGAUCUGUUGAAUGUUGAUCCUUAGACAUUGUGCGGCGACACUUGUCUCCAAAAGCUUUUGUAAUAAACGGAAUAUGCGGUAUGAUAAUUGACCUGACUCCUGG